Paramuricea clavata is the source of this 249-nucleotide non-coding RNA. The record is from the annotation of a GenBank genome assembly. Lineage: Eukaryota; Metazoa; Cnidaria; Anthozoa; Malacalcyonacea; Plexauridae.
GUAAGAAACAGCGAAUCUUUAAAUUCUUUCAAUAGAAAUAUUUCCUCUGUUAGUCUGACGAAUUAGCUAUUUGACUUUUGUAUAUACCAUUUGUUUUGUAAUAUGUAUUUGUAUUCGUAGUUCUUAAUAUUCUUAGUGAUUUUGUAUUUUAUAUAUUUUUGUUACAUAAUUUAUCUACGCCCCACUUGGAAAGCAGCUCCGGUUGAAGUGGCCAGCGUAGUCAAAUAAAGUUUUAUCUUAUCUUAUCUU